Molecule: small nuclear RNA, 103 nt
Organism: Oryctolagus cuniculus (rabbit)
Lineage: Eukaryota; Metazoa; Chordata; Mammalia; Lagomorpha; Leporidae
Source: Ensembl
GCUCACUUCAGCAGCACAUACUAAAACUGGAAUGCUACAGAGAAGAUUAGCCUGGUCCCUGUGAAAGAAUGACAUACAAAUUAGUGCAGCUGUGCAUAUUAAA